RNAcentral lists this ribosomal RNA (253 nucleotides) under uncultured bacterium. Its description in RNAcentral is "partial 16S ribosomal RNA". It matches the Rfam family "Bacterial small subunit ribosomal RNA", at positions 524 to 776 of the family's 1533-position model. The record is from RNAcentral.
UACAGAGGGGGCAAGCGUUGUUCGGAAUUACUGGGCGUAAAGGGCGCGUAGGCGGCCGGACAAGUCGGGUGUGAAAUCCCUCGGCUCAACCGAGGAACUGCAUUCGAUACUGUCUGGCUCGAGUCCGGGAGGGGAUGGUGGAAUUCCCAGUGUAGCGGUGAAAUGCGUAGAUAUUGGGAAGAACACCGGUGGCGAAGGCGACCAUCUGGACCGGAACUGACGCUGAGGCGCGAAAGCCAGGGGAGCGAAUGGG